This is a long non-coding RNA of Amphiprion ocellaris (clown anemonefish), 4243 nucleotides long. The record is from Ensembl. Lineage: Eukaryota; Metazoa; Chordata; Actinopteri; Pomacentridae.
GAAGAGAAUAAGAAUGAAAGAGGAAGAGAAACAGACCUCCAUACUGCUACCAUGGUGCCACCUUGGCACAGGCAUAAUGGGUCGUAACGAACGGGAGUCUGGGCACAGCAAAGGAAUAGCAAAGCGUAGAAGUAAGGAAGAUGCCAGCAGACAGAGGAUGACUCAGAUGUAGAUGGAUGAAGAAGGCACAGAAGGAAAUUGAAGAGAAAAUGGACGAUAAUAUAAAACUCCGCGGUGUGCCAGCCAGCGGGCAGCAUGCCAGUGUACAGUCAUGGCAUACCCGGCGGGAUCAAAGCAGAUGGCGAAGAACUGUCAUCGUCGUAGACAAGGGGACUCACCUCUGAGGAUUUCCUACUAAUCACCGUUUGUUUGUUUGGACAAAGCCAAAAAGAGGUGCCCGGGCAACGGUUACCAGCGAUUCUGUGAUGGCAUCUUUUCGGGGGCGGCAAGGGCACAGGGAGAAAGAUGGCAUGCUGCCAAGACAACAUAAUACACACAUUUGUAAACAGAAACCUCCAUACGGUGAGCAGAACAUUUCGGAUGCCAUGAGUGUUUUCGGCGAUGGCAUCCCCUCAAGGGAGAGACUAGAAACAGAGAUGGCACCAUGCCAAACUCAAACUGUGAGGCAUUCACAGCCGCCAUCAAAAGCUGUACAAAAAUGGCAAAAACGCAGACAUAAAAUAGUAGAAAAAGGUAGAAAUAGACACAGAAACGCAGCUGUGGCGGGAGUAUGGGACAAAAACCAUUUCCUCGAUGCCAACUCUGCUCAGUGCCAACUGCUGCACUGAAAGGAAGCUGCUGCCCAUUGCAAAGAACUAAGGCAAGGGAUCGUACCAUUCCACUAUGGAGAGGAAGAGUAUGCAAAAGAAGAGGAAUAAUGAGCAAAAGAAUAAAGGAUAUAGAAGAAGAAAAUAUGAGGAAUUUUGUGCUUAACGAAGAACAGUGGGAGUGGGUGGACAAGGAUGAUGAAGAGCCUCUUUCCUGCACUUGCACACCUGGGAUGUUCUUAAAGGGAUAUCCCCUCAGACUGCUCUGUGUUAAAGGGAGGGAUGCAUUGGCAUCAUCUCCAGGAUGUCAAGCUGUGUUUCUCUAUUGCCAGUCAAGGAGGGUGCUGCAGUCGUCAGGGGCGGGCAACUGUCUGGGCAUCUCAUCUGCAGCUAAUUAACAGCCACACACUAAUUCUAACAGCCGAUCAUAAUUAGCGAUUUAAUCGCUCGUCAACGCUUUUCUCCCCCCCUAAAUUGUGCCUCCUAUUUGGACACGUGCGGAUAAGCUAAGGAACGCCGGAUCCCCCUCCCCUCCUCCUCGUCCUUCUUUCCUUCAUCCUUGGCUCCAGACUCCAGUGGGAUCUUAAUUAAGCCUGGGCUUCAUUAUGCAAAUGGAGUACAAUAAACGACAGCAGAGGUGGAGCUGGAUACAGACUAAAACGGAACGGUGGGAGGGGAGCACUGGAAGUGGAAAAUGAAGAGAUGUGGAAGGUUACCAAAAUUGUCUAUAUGAUUUUACUGCGUUACAAUAAUUGCAUAUUGUUGUAACAUGCACGUCUUCAGUUUGCCAGCGCUAUUUGUGGUGUGAGAACCAACAUUUCGCACUCUGAUGCUCCAUCUCUGCUGCCACUGGGAAAACUUCUCUGUAAUAACACUGGAUAUGCAGAAUGUCAUCUCUCACAAAGAAAAUUCAUAAGGGAAUGGUGACAAUGAACCCCUUAAUAUCACCAGUUGGCUGUUGUCGUGGAUAUGAAGAAAGAUAGUAGAUAUGGGGACAGAGAAAAGAGGCAGACAGAAACACUGACAGUGGCAGCAGCAUGGCAGCUAAUGUCAUCUCAGUUUAAUCAUCGCAUGGGAUCAUGGGGUUCAUGAAAAUUCAUUUGCAUAUCAUUAAAUAGAGAGAGGUUAUUUGGUGUGGGCAGCCAAAAUGGGAUUGGAUGAAGGAAAGAAAAAAAAAAGGAAAAUGGAGGGGCUCGUUAUUAAACAGCAAUGUUUUAUAGUCCGCCAGCCGAUUCAUUUAAUUUGGGCGUAAUUAAAAUGUGUCAGACUCAAUCAAUCAUUCCAACGGGGAUACUAUCAAUGUUUCAGUCUGAAAAAGACUAAUCAGUGGAUAUGCGGUCGGACAUUUUCCAAUAACAGUCUGAGAGCUUUACUCUACUCUCAGCUUGACCGAUCGACUUUUAUUUCUGAUUUAUCAGAAGCAGUGUAUCAAGCAUGCAGUUUAACUUCCGUGAAUUGUGUCAAGACAUAUCUAUCUGACAGGUGGUGAUGCCAUCCUGUGCUAGUCAAUAAGAGGGUAGCUCACACUGUCUUUUUGACCUUAGUAAUAAGCUGUCCGUGGUGUGUAUGUAUGUGCAUGCCCGUGUACAUUUCUCAUUUGCAUAAGUGAUGUAAUUAGACCACCCUUUCACAUGCAGAUCAGUUUGACAACACGGCAAACACUCUAACACACACAUACAGCCAUACACACGCUUAUACACACGACAACACACGCUUGCCGCCGUGACCACCCCCAUAUCAUGGGGAGUCUGUUGUCUGUGAGCAGAGAGUGUAAAGAUUAACAUAAUCCAGCUAAUAAGUGUGAGUAAUAUUCACACAGUGACGCGUGGCAAAGACACUGUCCUGCUGAUGCGUAUUUGUAUCUCAUUAUAGAUGUAAAGUACUGUGGCCGCCAGUAGAUAGGGAGGGGAGGCGCGUGUGGAUGGGGGAUGGUGUGGGGUCACAAAGUGUGGGCCUGAAUGAACAGAUACCCAAGAAAAAAUAAUAAACAGCAGUAUUUUUACUUUUACAGUUACUCUGCCCUGAAAGGGAGGUGUCGACGUAGCAUAAAGACAGAUUACACAGCAUUCCUCAUAACCAGAAUGCUGGAGGUUGGUUAAGGAGGGCCUUCUAAUGUCUCCACAAAUUCAGAAAGACAAUUACACUGAUUAUUCAGUCUGUUUACAGUACUAAAAAGCCACAGAGUCCAUUUUUGCAGAAGAAUGUAGGAAUUAUAAAUAGAGUGUAUUUGCGCUUGCAGGCUAGCUCUGCCAUAUGAUUGAUUAGGAUGGUGUGACGACCAUUAAAAAGUCAUUUAAAAGAUGGAUAGGGACCACAUUUCCAAAUAAAAACCACUUUAUACCUGAUGAAGUGCUGAACAAACUCUCCUUCAAAGACAUUUACUGAUUACUCUCGGGGUAUGACUGAGUGUAAUGUGGGAAGUACCCAUGAACUGUGUGUACCUCUGCAUCAGCUGUAGACGACUCCAAAGCAAAUGUCUGUGUACAGUCAGGCAGUGGGUGAUGCAGCUUGCAUUUUUGAAACUAAAAUUUGACCAUUUAGAUUACAAGAAGCAGAAGUGACAUUCAUUUGGACAGAGGUGAAGUCUAUCUGCGUACAAGUAGGCGCACACAGAAAUAAACGACACAAACAGGCCAACACACGCACACACUGAUUGAAAUGUAUCUGAUAGCACAGCGUCGCUUCAGCCGAAACCUUAUCCUAAGAAGCAGAGGUGUAUCUAAAUGUGCGAAUGUAUUUCGGCUCUGUCUCUUUAACUCGGGGCUCCACCACAGCAGCAUGCUUUGGGAUUCAUGCAUAAACAUGAGCUGGCCUUUCAGCUCUCUCCUCACAUAACCAAUCUAAAUCUAAAUGAGCCCCCACUACAGAUACACCAGCAGGCAAUGACAUUACACCCCCUCCCCAGCCCCAGCCCAACCCCCUACUCUACCCUACUACCCCCAGCGACACAUAUACACCAGCAGGCAAUAAUUUCACGCCAUCCCUCAAAGCCCCCCCUCUACCUACUCUCCACACACACACUCGUACCCCUUUUUGCCGCAACCCCACCAGCUGCACAGUACUCAUUUGAUUAAGAGGGGGAGGACAGGGAGAAGGAGAAAUGGUGGGGGAUCACUUUAUCAGGAUGACUUUCUAAGAUGGCUAUCAUCAGCUACGAAGCUAUCUCAAGCCCUCUUGUGUGUAUACUUUGCUGUUGUUUUCCCCGUGUAUCUGUUUGUCUCCUCCCUGCAGCUCCAAUCAGAACAUAACAGUUUCACGGUUACAUUUUCCGUUGUCGCAUUUCUGUGUAAUGGUUAAAUAAAUGGCUUGCUGCUAGAGAAAAAAGGGAGCAGAUACCAGAUUGUGCCUGACUUGAGUGUGACUCUGAAGAAACAACACAUUCCCAUGUUCAUUUAAGCUUUUCCUCUUUGGCAAGUUGUCUCAUCAACCGCAGGAAAGAUUUACAUAAGAAAGAACAAAAUAAUAAAAUCUUCUCU